AUGCUGCGCUCGGCUCGUUCGCUUCGCGCUCGCUCCUCUCGCGAGAAGCCCCUCUUUACAUUUACAUGGCCGGCUCCUCGAGGCCGCUCGCGAGGACAUCGCGCUCAUGAAUUUAUCCCGUGAGUCGUACGGAGAGGGAGGAGGCACGAGAUGAUAGCCGGAUAACGUUGGCGUAUCAUUGGACCAGUUCUUGGAGACGCGAAACGCGACCCGCACGGUGAAUCGAAAUGGCAGGAAUUGUCGGUGUGUUUGCGCUGCUUCUUUUGGGCUGGACUGAUGGUUGUUGCUUAGUUUGUAUAACGGAGGUGGGUGGUUCGAGAAGGUUAAUUGUUUUGGCGAAUUGACUCGUUGAAGUACUGCGUUAAGUGGGUGCAAGUGACAUAUUCUUAUACAUUGUCAGAAACUCUGUUUUGCUGAAAAUAAGCAAGAGACAUUGUAUUUGAGAGUGAAACGACUGAAAGUAUUAGCGUGUAUCUUUUGUUGCUUCUGAGUUGAGCUGAAUUGGUGAUUGUGCAGUGCUGAUGGAUGAUCGAAGGAGGGAUCGUUUCGUGGAACGAGUUUAUGAAGUAUCGCACAGAGUGGGUGGAAGGAUGUAAGUGAUAUCGUUACAUGUUUUAAGAAAUUUUAUUUUGUCUAAAAUAAGGAAGCGUUCAAAUAUUUUUUUAAGUGGUACUAGAAUUGGUUGACGAAUAGGUUGAAUAGAUUGUGAAGAAGAUUAUUUUGGUACUAUUAGAACAUGGAAUAACAGUAACGUUUUCAGAAACAAAUUUAUUAAUGCAAGUAAUUAUUUCUUAUUUGCCUGAGAAAAUUGUAUAUGCAGAACAGAUUACAAUAUAUUAAUGAUAAUUAAAGCAAUUUAAGUGAUACCAAUCAAAAGGUGCAACUGCCGUAAAUCGAAUUGCAAAAGAACGACUUCAACUUCCUACUAACAGCCGUUCGUAUCGAACUCGAUAGUGCGAAAAGUAAAUGUCUGUAAUGUAAUUCAAUUUACCAUGUUCUUAUAAAUGUUCUCAACCUCUUUCCUCUACCAGUAACUUAUAAUAUAGCUGUCAAGAAAUUCCAGCAAUUCUCGAGAAACCAUGUGUACACGUCACAAAUAAAUAAAGCAAGCGAAUCGAACGCUCCUGCAUCGUGAUCGGCCAUUUUUCCCUCGUUGAACGGUCAACCGAACCGUCUGGCCGCUCGUAAAGCCGGUUGAUUUAUUCAACGGAUCAGCGUGGAACAGCGACUAAUUAGCGCGAUUAGCUUGCGCCACACGAUCUUCGUAUUCGUACGCGGUUGAUCGUUUCGCGGUGCAUGAAUGGACGCCUUCGAAUAGUCAGACUAAUACCUGAAACCUGGCCGAUCGAGCAAGUAACGAACGAUCACGUUGAAAGCGAACCUGACGGCGAAUUAACUAUGAGACCAAUUAACGAUGGAAGAAUGAGGAGAGCAAACUAUGGGAGCGAACGGUUUUUUAACGGAGAACGAGGAAGGUGGUUGAAGGAUUCGAAGAUUGGUGGACGACGUUCUGCAGCUUGAAGAUGAAUAAGGGGACUAAUUAACGAAGGAAAACGAACAGAGGUGACUAUGAAAGAUAGGAGGGUGUUGUAUAGAACUGUUUUUCACAGCCAAUAACGAUUGUGAUAUUUCUGUAUUGACAUAUUGUAACACGUGCAAUUACCAUUAUAUUUCUUUUAAUCUUUUCCUUCAACCAGUGACGUAAACAGUUCUCUGAUAUUAUAAGUUAUAGCGUAGAAGAAUACGCAUGAUGUAGGUAUAAUAAGAUUAAAGAGGAUAUCGAACCAGUUCCACCUAACGUCACAAGGACUUAAAAAGAAAAAAAAACAAUGGCCCCUAUGUCCAAAGAUAACACAUAAUUCACACGUAUCAUAAAACACCAUAAACUCCCAAUCUCUUCAAUAUCGUGCAUCAACCUAAAAUUUCCUACCCUGCAAAAAUUGGAAUUCCUAAAAACCGAGUGCCUCGACUCCACUCGUUUCCCAUCAGAAUCGCCAAUAGUACGGUUAAGGAACCAAAGAGACGGUCUCGGAGCUGGCUCGUUUCCCAAACGUCUCAAGCUCGACCCCUUGGGGGCUCCACCCCCGUACGCGCCGCGGAAAGGGGCAUCAUAAAGACCCGACUAAAUUACACGACGCGCCAUCGAGCGCAUUCAAUUAGAGAGGAUACUUU
Molecule: long non-coding RNA, 2172 nt
Organism: Bombus terrestris (buff-tailed bumblebee)
Lineage: Eukaryota; Metazoa; Arthropoda; Insecta; Hymenoptera; Apidae
Exons: 3
Source: RefSeq, a predicted model, not a curated record